RNAcentral lists this ribosomal RNA (292 nucleotides) under uncultured bacterium. RNAcentral describes it as "partial 16S ribosomal RNA". RNAcentral also lists the same sequence under 1 other name. The record is from RNAcentral.
GGACUACACGGGUAUCUAAUCCUGUUUGCUACCCACGCUUUCGCGCCUCAGCGUCAAUCAUCGCGUAGUGAGCUGCCUUCGCAAUUGGUGUUCUAUGUCAUAUCUAAGCAUUUCACCGCUACAUGACAUAUUCCGCUCACCUCCACGAUAUUCAAGACAGAUAGUAUCAACGGCAGUUCCCAAGUUAAGCUCGGGGAUUUCACCACUGACUUACCUGCCCGCCUACGCACCCUUUAAACCCAGUGAAUCCGGAUAACGCUUGCACCCUCCGUAUUACCGCGGCUGCUGGCAC